ACAACUUUCAACAAUGGAUCUCUUGGCUCUCGCAUCGAUGAAGAACGCAGCGAAAUGUGAUAAGUAAUGUGAAUUGCAGAAUCCAGUGAAUCAUCGAAUCUUUGAACGCAUCUUGCGCUCCUUGGCAUUCCGAGGAGCAUGCCUGUUUGAGUGUCAUUAAA
Molecule: ribosomal RNA, 161 nt
Filed under: Amanita sp. 'cyclops'
Lineage: Eukaryota; Fungi; Basidiomycota; Agaricomycetes; Agaricales; Amanitaceae
Description: 5.8S ribosomal RNA
Rfam family: 5.8S ribosomal RNA
About the family: 5.8S ribosomal RNA (5.8S rRNA) is a component of the large subunit of the eukaryotic ribosome.
Source: RNAcentral